GAUGAACGCUGGCGGCGUGCCUAAUACAUGCAAGUCGAGCGAACAGAUGAGGAGCUUGCUCCUCUGACGUUAGCGGCGGACGGGUGAGUAACACGUGGAUAACCUACCUAUAAGACUGGGAUAACUUCGGGACACCGGAGCUAAUACCGGAUAAUAUAUUGAACCGCAUGGUUCAAUAGUGAAAGACGGUUUUGCUGUCACUUAUAGAUGGAUCCGCGCCGCAUUAGCUAGUUGGUAAGGUAACGGCUUACCAAGGCAACGAUGCGUAGCCGACCUGAGAGGGUGAUCGGCCACACUGGAACUGAGACGCGGUCCAGACUCCUACGGGAGGCAGCAGUAGGGAAUCUUCCGCAAUGGGCGAAAGCCUGACGGAGCAACGCCGCGUGAGUGAUGAAGGUCUUCGGAUCGUAAAACUCUGUUAUUAGGGAAGAACAAAUGUGUAAGUAACUAUGCGCGUCUUGACGGUACCUAAUCAGAAAGCCACGGCUAACUACGUG
RNAcentral lists this ribosomal RNA (497 nucleotides) under uncultured bacterium. RNAcentral's name for it is "partial 16S ribosomal RNA". It matches the Rfam family "Bacterial small subunit ribosomal RNA", at positions 28 to 507 of the family's 1533-position model. The record is from RNAcentral.